Long non-coding RNA from Ictalurus punctatus (channel catfish), 350 nucleotides. Lineage: Eukaryota; Metazoa; Chordata; Actinopteri; Siluriformes; Ictaluridae. The record is from Ensembl.
UGGACUUGUGUUGAUGUGUGUGUAGGUGUGUGGACUUGUGAUGAUGUGUGUGUACUUGUGAUGAUGUGUGUGUAUGUGUGUGGACUUGUGAUGAUGUGUGUGUACUUGUGAUGAUGUGUGUGUAUGUGUGUGGACUUGUGUUGAUGUGUGUGGACUUGUGUUGAUGUGUGUGUAGGUGUGUGGACUUGUAUGUAGGUGUGUUUAGGUGUGUGUGAGAGAGAAAGACAGGACAAAACAGUGGAGGAGAGAAAUAAAGAAGGGCAUUCUUCCAGGCUGUUGAGCAGCUGAUGGAUGGAUGAGUACGAGAUGGCCGCUUGCCUUCUCGUGAUAAGGCCUGUAUCUCCAGCGGG